Molecule: long non-coding RNA, 7223 nt
Organism: Panthera uncia (snow leopard)
Lineage: Eukaryota; Metazoa; Chordata; Mammalia; Carnivora; Felidae
Exons: 3
Source: RefSeq, a predicted model, not a curated record
GGGGGGGGGGGGGGCAGGGAGAGCCAAAGACUCGGGAGAGAGCAGGUGUCCCCGUGCGACGGGUCCUCAGUGGUUUGCAACCGGGUUCCACAUCCGCCCUUCUCAGCUGGUUUUAAAGGAGCCUGUGCCAUGAUCUACGGAUCACUGCCGAGGUGUGGUUCUGUCACCGAUUUAAACGUGGGCAGGGCGGAAGCCCCGCCACGUCCCGUCGCAUAAACUGGUGGUGAGUCACUGGGAAGUACUGACCCAGGUUCCUGACCCUGGCACUGCCUCCUCGGUGUCGCCCCCUGGCCCAGAGCGGCUCCCAGAGGGGGGGUGACGGGCCAUUCGAUAGCAGGGACUCACUCUGAACCAACUCGAGUGACCCCGGCCGCUAACUGGGAUCUAGGUCGGUGUCUGAGACGGGCUGGAGGAAACUAGCCUCACUGAGAAGUCCUUCCCCAAAGAGCUGUGUGCUCGUCUCCAGAACAUGUAUCUCUUCUUCGCCUCUCUCGCCGUAGGCUUUUCACCUUCUGCAGAUCUGACGAAGAACGUGACCCCUUAUGAUCGACAUCGCCGGAUUCUAAGCCGUCGUCAAGUGAGCUGUGGGCAUUUUUCAGCUUCUGCUUUUGCUGCCAGGAGGCUCCUCCAACUUUACACUCGGCAGUUACCCCCCGGCCGAGCAGAGGGCCUUGCAACCUAGCUUCCAGAAGGCACGCGCGUGUCCGGCCAGCGCGCAGAGGGACAGCGCUCUGCUGUCAGACUAAGUCUGACACAGACUUAGUCACUGCUGAUUCUGCUUAAAAAAGCCGGCUUUUAAUAAGCUUCUCUGGUACGUUGUGUGCUGUCCUCAGCUGCUGGGAUCCCAGGCACAGGACAUUAGGAUCCUCAGAUCUCUCUGUAGUAAGUUCUAUUUGUUACCGUAAAUCCAAAGAGUUAGGUAGGUCCUGCACCUUCAGUUUGUUGAGGAAUUUGCUUUCACGGAAAGGAAACUAGGGGCGCCUGGGUGGCUCAGUCGGUCGGGCGUCCGACUUCAGCCCAGGUCACCAUGUCAAGGUUCGUGGGUUCGAGCCCUGCGUCGGGCUCUGUGCCGACAGCUCGGAGCCUGGAGCCUGCUUCCGAUUCUGUGUCUCCCCCUCUCUGCCCCUCCCCUACUCACGCUCUGUCUCUCUCAAAAAGGAACAAAUAUAAAAAACAUUUUUUCUUGUCAGUGCAACUCCAUGCCUCACUAAUAACAGGUCUGUUGGUAUCUGUACCUUAAAUACCUUCACUGCUGCCUCUGUUUAUGGCUGUCAGAGAGGGUCAGACUUGGUCGGCCCGCUUUCCUUCCUUGUGCUCAUUCUCAUCAGAGUUCAGAUUACAGCCCAGGGUCUGUCUCCCAAGACGGCACCCUCACACGAGGAAGGGCGGGCGCCUCCGGGCGCUCGGCAGCCUGGGGUCGGGGGUGGGGAGGGCGUUCACCCUUCCGGUGACCUCUUUUGGUGCGAGGCUCUCUGCACACAGACCUGCUCUCUGCACACGCGCCACCGGGCCUGGGAAGCAUGUGGUUUUAACGAAUGAAGAGUUGGUUCCUUGGUGCAACAGGAAUAAGAAUUGGGGACCCGUGGUUUCCCCUUGAGUGAAGACCAAUGAGGGCCCCAGAAGGUGCUCGAAGGAGGAGGCAAAAGCAUGUCGUUUGUGGUGCGACCAUGGCUACUGUUAGCUUUUUCCCCACCGCAUUUCCUUUACUUAAAAAAAUGGCCGGAGGUGUACACGGUAAGGAAGCUUGAAACACGCAGGCUUACAUCUCCGUCCAGCUCUUUUCCUCCCCGGGAGGCAGAGCCACUCAUGAGAAAACCACGAGGGGACUCCUUGCACACCCGGCGUAACUGUGUUUUCCAUGACGGUGUGUCCCCCGCACUUAAUUUUUUUUGGUGGAGAUCACUUGAGUCUCCCCAUCUGUGAUUUUUGUCGGGAAGAAGAAACUGUUAGAAGUUGAAUGGUUGGAUCCAAAAAAUGCCUCUUUAGAGGCUGACACAUGAGCCAACCUCUUUUGAGGUUUUAUAGCCCUGCCGUACGGGAGCACCUGUUUGCUGCGUUGGUGUGGACACUGUGUUAAAACUUCGUUUUCGUGGACCUGAUCACGUCUCAGCUUUAUUUUUUCAAAAGCCGUCUGUGUCCUGCCCUCCUGGUGUCCUAGGGUGUCGGUUUUCUUCUGAAUGAUGUGCAAGAGUGCUUUUUGGAACGAAGCAAAGUAGCUGGUGACUUGCAUGCCAAGUAUUUUUCUCCAGUUUGUCGGACUUGAUUUUUCUAUAUGUGAAUUUCGCAUUUUGUCCCAUUUGGCCAGCGUUUCCUCUGACGGCUUCUGAGAUUAGUGGUAUGCUUGGAAAGUUUUUUGCCCACUCUGUGAUUUAAAAAAAAAAAAAUCCUGUUUUCUGCUGCUGUCCCUCUGCUUUGCAUUUUUCCUUCUAAAUUUUUGAUCCAUUCAAAACGUAUUUAAAGUUUUUUUUUUUUUUUUAAUGUGUUAUUUAUUUUUGAGACAGAGGGAGAGCGUGAGCAGGGGAGGGGCAGAGAGAGAGGGAGACACAGACUCCGACACGGGCUCCAGGCUCCCAGCCAUCAGCCCAGAGCCCGACGCGGGGCUCGAACCCACAGACCACGAGAUCGUGACCUGAGCCAGAGCCGGAUGCUUAACCGACUGAGCCACCCAGGCGCCCCCAUUCAAAACGUAUUUUCAACUGUACCUCUAUCUUGUCCCAAAAUAAAUUCCAGUAUCUUUUAUAUUAAGUGGUACAUUUCUCUCCCACUGACUUAGAAGUUCUACUGUCUCUCUCAUCACCUGAGUGUCUCUUUGAACUUGAGUCUCUACCUCAUGCUUUAAGUCGUGGUGUUUUGUGAUAAAAAAUGCCAGAGCUGUUCCCCGAUGACUUCCGGGUUUCUUUUGGAAUGUUCCUCCCUAUGCCUGCCUGUUGAUUUUCUCCGACGGCUGGUAACCCUUCUAAAAAGUUUGAUGGUUGCAUGUUGGAGACCGCAUCGAACGUAGAUUGGCACAGGCAGGGCAGACAUCUGGCGGAUGUGGCUUCCUCCUGUCCCCGAGGAUGGGAACAUCGAAGUUUGCGAUGUAGAUUUUGUCGUUGGGAUCGGCACUGUAUAUGGAUUUUUUUUUUUCCUCCUGAGGAUUGUUUAAACAUAGGAAAGCCCUUGAUCUUUCUACCUAGUUUUGUACCCCAGCUACCUUGCUGAAUUCUUUGGUCUGGGGGUUUUGAACCUUGGGCCUCAGAAUUCUCUAGAAAGCCUCCUGAGGUGCAGAUGGCAGGGCUGGGGAGGGACCUGAGAGUGGGCCUUUGUAAGGAGUCCCCAGGGUUAGUGUUUUGGCCCCUGUGAUUUCUUCUUUUUCCGUCCAGCCUUAUUGAGAUCUGACGGAUACAGGAGUCUGUGCAAGUUUGCGAGGUAGGUACAUACAGUGUGUUGAAUGCAAUUGUUAACGAUUGUGUACCUGGAAAUGAGGAUAAUUUCCCUACUCUGCACUUUCUAGGCCUUUUAUUCUUUUAAUUGUAUCAGCAAAUUCUUUAAGAACUUCAAUAGCAGUGAUAGGCCCUCACCAUUCCUGACUUUGAUGGAAAUGCACCUGGUCUUUUACCGUGAAGCAGGGUGCUUUUCAGAUACAUUUCCACGUAAAGGAAGGAUCCAUCUGUAUUUACAUUAAAAGUUUCCGUCUAGAUGGGGAAUGUUAUAAAAAGGUUUUCCCUCUUAAAUAAGGAACCCAAAUCAGUAGGGCUCCAGCUGCUGAGCAGUGUUUGUAUUUAUUUUUUCUUUAAUUUUUUUAAUGUUUUUAUUUAUUUUUGAGACAGAGAGAGACAGAGCAUGAGCAGGGGAGGGGCAGAGAGAGAGGGAGACACAGAAUCGAAAGCAGGCUCCAGGCUCUGGGCCAUCAGCCCAGAGCCCGACGCGGGGCUCGAACUCAGGGACCGUGAGAUCGUGACCUGAGCUGAAGUCGGACACUCAACCGACUAAGCCACCCAGGUGCCCCAAGCUGGUUUGUAUUUAAACUGCCAAGCCUCGAAUGUGUGAAUUCAGUUGGACUGGGUUCAGUACUUGUGUGUUCAAAUAGGUUAGUCUGGGGCGUCUGGGGGGCUCAGUCGGUUAAGAAUAAAAUCCAUUCUGACAAUUUUUUAUAUCCUGGUAAGUUUUUCAUCUUAUGCAAGUUUUCAAGUUAACUUACAUACGUUUGACCAGUUACGUGAAAUCUUUUGAGCUGUGGCUUUUUACUUCCAUUUUUCCUACAUUAUGUUGUAGCAAUUCUGUUUUUCUUUUAAAUUAAUUUUGCUUUUAUAGUAUCUCCUGCUGUUUGUUUCUUUUUCCAAUUUGAGUUGAUUGUUAAGUUCCUACAUGAAGAAUGGAAGUAAAUGCGUAUAUAGAGGUAUCACUUUUCUCUUUGAGCUCCGCCUUCUUUGGUAAUACUGUAUAGACUCUGAUAGAUGUGUUCUGUGUUCGUGGUUGGCUUCUAGAUUUUGUUAAAUCUUUAUUUCUCUUAGAGAGAGACACACACAGGGGAGGGGCAGACAGAGGGAGACGCAGCAUCCGAAGCAGGCUCCAGGCUCCGAGCCGUCAGCACAGGGCCCGACGCGGGGCUCGAACUCACGAACCGUGAGAUUGUGACCUGAGCCGAAGUCGGAGGCUCAACCGACUGAGCACCCCCCCAGGCGCCCCCAUACUCAGAGCUUUCCACUUGGAGCCAAGAGUUUAAAAUUUUUUGUGGGCUGGAGAAUUCUCCUACAAAUGGGGCUGUUCACUUUCAGUUUUAAUAAAUAGUAAUUAGGGGAGUCACCUAUGUCCUGUCUACUUGGGAUUGUGGUUUUAGUUGUGCCCUUUGCUGUGACCAGGUAGAGUCCCUGAAUGAAUUCCCUGUGUGUCUUCCUACAUUUGCCGUAGGGCGCCCUGUGAGUGUGGAUGUCGAGUUGCCGUGUGCCCGUUGGAUUUUCAGUGGUGAAUAUAUCUCGUUGAAUUCCCUGCCCUGCCUUCCCUCAUGCUUUUGGCCUCGAUCUUAAUCUUGCCUGCCGUUAAUGAUGUCACGCCGCUGUGUGUGUUGCUUGGAGUUUGCCUGGUAUAUUUUAGCUUGAUUUUUCGGAGUCUUUUUUUUCUUAUAAACUUUAUUUUGACGUAACUUGAAUCGACCUAGAGGCUGCAAAACUGGUGCUGAGAGUUCCUGGGCGCUCCUCUCCCAGCUUCGCCUAAUGAAAACAUCUUCCCUAAUCAGAGCACAGCCACCCAAGCAGGACGCUGGCAUCGGCACGACAUUAGCAACGAUGCAUAGACCUUAUUCGAAUGCCGCCAGUUUUUCCAAAGCCCCUGCUUUCAGGCACACUCAAGGCUAGGGGCACAGUCUUCCAGAUGGCAAAGUCUGCCCAAGCCUCCCGACACCCACUACGCGGUCCGAGGGCCCCCCAAGCCGCCCUCAGGUUGGACAGUUCGCUGAAGAGACAGAACUCACCGAAACCUGUUGGACUGUUGGUCAGGCUUGUUACGGGGGAGGAUACACAUCAGCGCCAGCCACGGGGUGGACCGGCAGUGUUCCAAGAACAGAGUUUCUGGUCGACCUCACUGAGCCCGAUGGUGGUCUUGGGGACCCCUGCCAUCAGUCCUGGGAAACUUGAUCACGUGUAGAGAUUGACGUGACCCUCGCUACAGUCAGGAUCCAGAACUGUCCCAUUUGCCUCCCAAACUCCUUCCUGCUCCCCCUCUUCCAGUCCCGCCCUCCUAACGCUGACGCCUGACAGCCUGUCAUCCACUCUGUCACCUUAAUUGUCACUUCGAGGAUGUUAGGUAAAUGGAACCGUACCAUACGUCACCAGUAAGACGGGUUUCUGCCACUCGGCGUGAUACCCAGGGGACCCACCCAGGAUGCGACGUGGACGCUCCUGAGCCCUCCACUGUGGGGGGGCCGCUCGUCGGCCGAAGGAGGCGUGGGUGGUUGUAAGAUGCGGCUCUUACGAGUGACGCUGCCGUGGGCACGAGGGUCUGUGCCUAGAGUGGCGAGGCUGGGUCACAGGCUAAGCGUGUGUUUGACCAGAUGGGACGCCAUCAGCCUGUUCUCCAGAGCGGCUGUGGUACCUCCCCGCCCUGCGACACGUCCGGGCACCGGUUGUCCCACAUCCUUGCGCCCUCAGCGUCCUGGGCAUGUUUUUAGCCGUUCGGAGAGGUGUGUUUACUGCCUCUAUGCCCUCUUAAGAGCUUGUGCCCUUUUUCUGUUUUUUUUUGUUAAAUUUAAAUUUUUUUUUUUUUUAAUUUUGGAUCAGAGUCGAUUGUUGGGUUUGUGAUUUGAAAAUACGUAUUUUCCAGUCUUUUUUUUUUUUUUUUUUUAAAUUCUCUCCACUAGUGACUUUCAUGGGAAAAAUGCUUUCACUUUUGGUGGAAUCCAGUUAGUUUUUUUUCCUGGAUUAAAACAACUUUUUUUUUUUUUAAAUUCAAGCCUCAUUUACCAUGUUAGGUUAGUUGCAGGUAUACAGCACAAUGAUUCAACAAUUCUCUAUAUUUCUUGGAGUUCUUUAAGGUCUGUACCUAAAUUUUUUUUUUUAAUUCCAGUAUAGUUGGAUUGCAGAGUGAUGUUAGUUGCAGGUGUACAAGACAGUGACUCAGCCCUUCUGUACGUCACCCCGUGUGUCUCAUGCAAGGUGUUGCCGUGCAGUCUCCAGAGCUCAGCCGGAAAGGUUGGGGUGGACGCGGGCCCGGGCCCAGGCUUCCUGCCGGUUUCCCAAGAAGCAGAUCAGGUGAGGGACCUACCGCACGGCGUCCUAAAAGCGUGCCUCGGGAGGGGGCCUGGGGGAGGGCCACAGUCACAUAAAAAUAUAGAUUAUUGAGGGGUUGGACGCAGGCGGGGGCCGCUAUGCAUCUUCCUGGUGAACCUGGGCUUUCUCGGCUCUGGAACAGAACUUUUCGCAUAGUUUGAGCAGCUCUGACAAAAUGAACACCGAUGAAGCCAGUGCGGUUAAAAGCAACAAGUCUGCAAAAAGGUGAAAAGAAGAUGGGGGUCAGAGUGCACGGUGCCACCCUGAGGCUCCCUUCCCCACGUCUCGGCUUUGGUCGCAGAGAGCCCAGAGACACCCCCCACCCCGGCCUCGUGCUCCGAGCAGUCAUGUCCAGCACCUCAGACUCGACCGUGUCAUGACCUGUGGCCAUGACCUACGCCAGCCUCCCCACCUGCUGGCUCCCACCACAUAAGUGGCUCCGGUCACUGCUGUUGCUCGGGUACCCUCCUCCCCCACCCC